RNAcentral lists this ribosomal RNA (253 nucleotides) under uncultured bacterium. Its description in RNAcentral is "partial 16S ribosomal RNA". It matches the Rfam family "Bacterial small subunit ribosomal RNA", at positions 524 to 776 of the family's 1533-position model. The record is from RNAcentral.
UACGUAGGGGGCAAGCGUUGUCCGGAUUUAUUGGGCGUAAAGAGCGUGUAGGCGGUUUGGUAGGUCCGUUGUGAAAACUCGAGGCUCAACCUCGGGACGCCGAUGGAAACCAUCAGACUAGAGUCCGGAAGAGGAGAGUGGAAUUCCUGGUGUAGCGGUGAAAUGCGCAGAUAUCAGGAGGAACACCGGUGGCGAAGGCGGGUCUCUGGGCCGUUACUGACGCUGAGGAGCGAAAGCGUGGGGAGCGAACAGG